GAUGAACGCUAGCGAUAGGCCUAACACAUGCAAGUCGAGGGGCAGCAUAGAGUAGCAAUACUUUGAUGGCGACCGGCGCACGGGUGAGUAACACGUAUGCAACCUACCUACAUCAGGGGAAUAACCCGGAGAAAUUCGGACUAAUACCGCAUAAUACAGGGAUGCCGCAUGGCAAUAUUUGUUAAAGAUUUAUCGGAUGUAGAUGGGCAUGCGUUCCAUUAGCUAGUUGGUGAGGUAACGGCUCACCAAGGCAACGAUGGAUAGGGGAACUGAGAGGUUUGUCCCCCACACUGGAACUGAGACACGGACCAGACUCCUACGGGAGGCAGCAGUGAGGAAUAUUGGUCAAUGGACGAGAGUCUGAACCAGCCAAAUCGCGUGAAGGAAGACUGCCCUACGGGUUGUAAACUUCUUUUGUACAGGAAUAAAAGACAUUACGUGUAAUGUAUUGCAUGUACUGUACGAAUAAGCAUCGGCUAACUCCGUGCCAGCAGCCGCGGUAAUACGGAGGAUGCGAGCGUUAUCCGGAUUUAUUGGGUUUAAAGGGUGCGCAGGCGGGAUUUUAAGUCAGCGGUGAAAUUUUCAGGCUCAACCUGAACACUGCCGUUGAAACUGGGAUUCUUGAGUAUGGAUGAAGUAGGCGGAAUUCGUUGUGUAGCGGUGACAUGCUUAGAUAUAACGAGGAACUCCGAUUGCGUAGGCAGCUUACUAAGCCAUAACUGACGCUCAAGCACGAAAGCGUGGGGAUCAAACAGGAUUAGAUACCCUGGUAGUCCACGCCGUAAACGAUGAUUACUAGUUGUUUGCGAUAUACCGUAAGUGACUAAGCGAAAGCGAUAAGUAAUCCACCUGGGGAGUACGCCGGCAACGGUGA
This 874-nucleotide ribosomal RNA is filed under the name uncultured bacterium. RNAcentral's name for it is "bacterial SSU rRNA". It matches the Rfam family "Bacterial small subunit ribosomal RNA", at positions 28 to 897 of the family's 1533-position model. The record is from RNAcentral.